GACGAACGCUGGCGGCGUGCUUAACACAUGCAAGUCGAACGGAAAGGCCCCUUUGGGGGUACUCGAGUGGCGAACGGGUGAGUAACACGUGAGUAACCUGCCCUUGACUUCGGGAUAACUUCAGGAAACUGGGGCUAAUACCGGAUAGGAAUCCUUGCUGCAUGGUGGGGGGUGGAAAGCUUCGGCGGUUUUGGAUGGACUCGCGGCUUAUCAGCUUGUUGGUGGGGUAGUGGCUUACCAAGGCUUUGACGGGUAGCCGGCCUGAGAGGGCGACCGGCCACAUUGGGACUGAGAUACGGCCCCGACUCCUACGGGAGGCAGCAGUGGGGAAUAUUGCACAAUGGGCGGAAGCCUGAUGCAGCAACGCCGCGUGCGGGAUGACGGCCUUCGGGUUGUAAACCGCUUUCAGCAGGGGCGAAGCUUGUGGUGACGGUACCUGCAGAAGAAGCACCGGCUAACUACGUG
This 465-nucleotide ribosomal RNA is filed under the name uncultured bacterium. RNAcentral's name for it is "partial 16S ribosomal RNA". It matches the Rfam family "Bacterial small subunit ribosomal RNA", at positions 28 to 507 of the family's 1533-position model. The record is from RNAcentral.